Carassius gibelio (silver crucian carp) is the source of this 2182-nucleotide long non-coding RNA. RefSeq lists it as uncharacterized. The record is from RefSeq and is a predicted model, not a curated record. The transcript is spliced from 6 exons. Lineage: Eukaryota; Metazoa; Chordata; Actinopteri; Cypriniformes; Cyprinidae.
CCUAUAAAUCUACUUUUAUUCAUAGAUUUUAACUGAUAUAACGUUAAAUGCCAUCAAAGAGGAGUAGUGUUUUGUAUUUUUGUAGGUUUUCUCUUUCAAUUUAAUAAAUAAAUGCUCUGUUUGGUUAAUUAGCUCAAAAUCAGUCUCAGAGGUGGUCUAAGGUAACGGUAACUGUUAAAAUCGAAUAUAACCUUACCUGUUUUAAAUUAUUUGAAAUUUAUCACUAUAAACUAUACAGUAUUAACUUUCUAAUAAUUAAAUUUUUAACCGUAGUAACGUUAAUUAGUUUGUUUGAAUACCUGCUGCUCGAGCUUGAUGAUGCUCAUGCUAGCCAUGCUGUGAACUUGAAUAUAAACCGGUAGAACGUUAAAUAUAAAGUUUAACGUUAGUUAGACCGAGGCUGCCGAAAUCAUGUUCAGUGUAACGUUAUGUGGGAUUAAUAAUUUCCCCUUUUCUCCCUCAAGUGGCAGGCUUGUAAAUUCUGUCAUCUGUUCAUUAUUGGUGUUGAUGGUGUUUUUCACAUGCAUGCUUUUUAAUGCUAGUUUAAUUCUCAAAUUGAUCUGAUACUUUCGUUUCACAAAAAGUAAACAAAUUGUUCACUUUCUUAGGGCCUGACAACCACCAGUUGAGUCCAUGAUUCAGGGAAGAGACAGUCUGGGCAGCAGCAACAAGACAACUAUUACAAGUAGAGAUGGGUUUCAAGAACUGACACAACCACAUAUCCUCCAAAUCAUCUCUGCGUGGAUGGCAGCAAGGAUCCAGGAUCAAGAGAUCAUUCUUCAUGGAGACUGUUCCACAGGAAGCAGUUUCUCCUGGGUCAUCCUGACCAUUCUGCUGUCCUGGAUAUUUGAGGGAAAGAUUAAAAACAAGGAGGUCUGGGAAUGACUGAAGGGAACUGACAGCAGUGAGGGAAGGAAGUAAUCACCAGAAUCUCAGAGAAGGAUGUUGACAGUGCAGGCCCAGGAUGAAGAAGAGGAGGAAGAACACGUUUAACAAUUUUCUCAUAAGCUUGCCAUGUGUUAUAAUAAAAACAAUGAACAUGGCUACAAUAAUAUGCUAAAUGUUAUUAAAAGAUUCCAGUUUGCAAAAAGUCUGAGUGUCUGACUCUACACUAGAGGAACUCUUUUCUGAAGAAGAUCAGGUGCUGAGAAGAAGCCUUGUUCUACAGCAAAACACUGCAUCUAGCCUCCUGUCCUUCCCUCAGAAGAGCCUGUCUUCUGCUGCUGGGGUAAGAAACACACUCUUCCUCUUCUCUAUCAGCUGUCCAGCACCUAACUCUGCCUCCUCAGCACUGUCUGAAAGAGUCAUCUCCACAGUCGGUAAUCACAGAUCACAGAUUCUUCUGAGAAAGUAGAUAUGCUCAUUUUCUUAAAAAACUUUGUUUUUUCGGGUGGGACAAAUAAUACAGGAGAGAUGCUAGAAAUCUCUAGAUUGUUCAUUUUUCAUAUCUUUACGCUUUAUGAAUGUUUUUCUUCUGAGAAGCUCAAAAAUUAUGGUUCUUUGGUAAUUGUUAUAUUGUUUAGUUUUAUCCUCUGAUAGUGAGCACAGAGCCCUGAUCAUGACAUGCAAGAAAAAGAAAGAAAUCAUGUCCAUGAUUUACUAAUUCGUUCCCUCUAUGUACUAAACGUGCACGAUUACUUUUACAUUUCAUUGAUUUGCUAAAUCGUAUGCACAAUUUACUAAUUCGUUCUCUUGAUGUAUAAAUAGUGUACACGUUUUAGCAAAUCGAGGGAAUGAAAUAGAAAAUCGUGCGCAUGAAUUAGCCUAAAUUUUUUCCUGCAUGUCGUGUAAUUAAAGCACAUCACCAUCAGACAUUUAUAACAGGAGCCUCAUAUAUGACGCUCACAGUUUUACUUUGUGCAGUAUCUCGGUGCAGUAUCUGCUGAAUUGUUUCAUAUCUAUUUAUCAUGUAUUUUUUGUUGCACUAAAUUAUGUUGUAUCAAUAAGUUUACUGAUAAUUAUUUAUAAUUUUCACUGAUAAACGUCAUUAACCAUCUCCCCAUCUUUAAGACAAAAAUUUUCUAUUGUUUAUAUUGUGUAAUCUAUGAAUUGAUGUGUUUAGUUUUCUGUGCUCAUAACUUAGUAACAUUUUGCAUGUUUAAAGAACAGGUGCGAUGUUCAAAAUGUUUUGGCUUCGUAUUUGUACAAAGUAGUGCUGAAUAAAUAUUGAUUUGUGAAUGAA